UACGUAGGCAGCAAGCGUUGUUCGGAGUUACUGGGCGUAAAGAGCGCGUAGGCGGUCCUGUAAGUUUGGUGUGAAAUCUCCCGGCUCAACUGGGAGGGUGCGCCGAAGACUGCAGGGCUUGAGUAUGGGAGAGGUAAGCGGAAUUCCUGGUGUAGCGGUGAAAUGCGUAGAUAUCAGGAGGAACACCUGUGGUGUAGACAGCUUACUGGACCAUAACUGACGCUGAGGCACGAAAGCGUGGGUAGCAAACAGG
This 253-nucleotide ribosomal RNA is filed under the name uncultured bacterium. Its description in RNAcentral is "partial 16S ribosomal RNA". It matches the Rfam family "Bacterial small subunit ribosomal RNA", at positions 524 to 776 of the family's 1533-position model. The record is from RNAcentral.